Long non-coding RNA from Macrobrachium nipponense, 3957 nucleotides. RefSeq lists it as uncharacterized. NCBI's taxonomy places the organism in Eukaryota, Metazoa, Arthropoda, Malacostraca, Decapoda, Palaemonidae. The transcript has 4 exons. The record is from RefSeq and is a predicted model, not a curated record.
GAAACGCUCGUAGUGGGGUGGCAACACUGCUGAGUUACAGUGGUCCCAAAUGCACGCCGCUACCGAGACUUGCAAUCAGAUCCAUCCAAUUUUUUAACAUCACCAUCAGGAUAACUUCUAAAAUAAAGAAAACCUCCAACAGGAAAUCGGACUGCGCUCUUCCACCAAACCCUAUAAUUUAUAACAUAACUUCAGAGACCAUCUAAAAUGAAGAAAACCUCCAAAAGGCAUAUUCAGUUGCAUAGGAUUGCAUUCAAUGCCCAUAUAUGCAGUUUCAGUUAUUUCAUGAUUUUGCAAGAAACAAGAGUUUAUUAGAAAAUAUACCACUAAAGAAACUGCCUUCCCUUGGGAGAAAGACUACAGGAACCAAAAGGCAUGUAGCAUACAAGGUAGCAGAAACAUCAGGUCAGAGGGAUGCCAGAGCUGUUGUAUCCAGAGCAGCAGAAUCUACCAGAGGGAGGCCAGACUGGAAGACCAAAGGACAAGAGCUACAGCAUCCACAGCAGCAGAGGAAGGCCAGACUGGUACUACCUAGAUAUGAGGGUAAGAGCAGCUGCACCCAGAGCAGCCAAAGAACAGGAACAAAGGGAGAUCAGGUUAUGACAGGUGAAGGCGACAGUUUCAGGAGCCAGAACUCUAAGGCAUUUCACAGCUUUGAAAAGAGCAGCAUUUAAAUACAGGUCAUUUGUUAGCUGUCACGAGCACCUUCAUGUUUCCAUUGGAAAGUUGGAUGUAGUUUGUCAGCACUGUAACACUCAGUGGAAAGAAACAGCUCCGGAACAUUAAUGCAGCAAUGGAAAGAUCUCUCUUCCACCUUUGGUCAGUCUGUCCGAUCCACUGCAAUCGCUCAUGUCUGGAGAUAUGGUCAGUUCUUUGCAUUUCCUUGACAAACAUUCAAAAGUACAACCGUUUCCGAACUACAUUAUUUAGUGCAAAGAAUUUAUGGGCCAGGUCAAAUGCCCACCUUCAGUGUUCAAGUUCAGGUUUACCAUGCCUUCAGAUCUUUGUUGCUUUUGCCAGAAGCAGACCCCAAGUUUCUUUUGAGCUACUUCACAGGUUAUGCAGGUGCGGGGGUCUAAAUGAGACCGCUACAUAUUGGGCCUUAAGGGAGGCAUCGUUCUAGAACUCCAGAAGUUCCUUCAUAGGCAGCACGACUACAUCACCAUCUUCAGAAAAGUUUUGGAGUUGCCCACAAAGAACCACAAGAUCAGGCCAGAGAAGAAGGCUGAAGGUGAGCACGAAAAUUGUUUCAAUGUCCCCACCUUUAAUAAAGGGCCUGUGGUGAAGGUCAGCAAUUACUUUUAGCCCUGGGAGAGAGUGACAACACCCACAGGUCCCACAACUCCUUGCAGUAUCAUCUGAUCUUCAGGCAAGGUGAGGGCAGCUACUACUACAUUCCUCCCCCACAAGUACUACGACUCCCUGCAGUGUUGUAUCCUCUGAUCUUUUGGCAAGGGGUUACUACUACUACAUUCCUCGCACCAAUCUAGAAACUGGUGGAGGAAAAAAUUAUCGUAACAAAACUACAUUGCUUGCAGAAUCAUGUUGCGUGCCAGGGACGAGAAACACCUUUUGAUGUACAGGAUGUUGUUUCACUAGUGUAUUGUGGAUGUAUGUCAGUAUUGUAAGGAAGAAGUUUCACUACAUUUGGACCCACAGCAGGAGAGUGAGCCACCGACUACAUCCACCUCCAAGAGACCAUCGCCAGCGACGCUAAUCCAAGGGAGUUGGGGAAAGGGGAUAAUCUUAACCUCAAGGGUCAUUGGAAGUCCCAGGCACAUGAAGAGUGCACCAAAGGUGCAAUGAGUUAUUAGGAAUACGAACGCCCAGAUCUCUCAUCGUCUUCACUUUCAACCUGAAAUGGUGUGAAAUUCUGAAGCAGCUGAUUUUUGGCUGGCUGUCACCUUCCCUCAGCUAUAACUUCAUUGCCAGGCACUUCAAAUGGAAAUUGGCCAAGAUGAUCAAUGGCAAAUUCAAAUCACACAUCUUCGGAGAAACUUAGUGCUGUAUGUAUACCAUCAGGUGGCAGAAGUGCAGCCUUCCCCACCCCCACAUGCUUUCCCAGAACAGUCAGUCCAUCGACAUCGACAAAGUGAUUAGAACAAAGAUUUUAGAUCCACAAGAAGAUCCCCUACUCAAAGCUGUCGUCAACCAAGGAUGUGAUCCAUGGUUCCUGCAGCAAUCUCAACUCAAUUCAACAAGCAGGGUUGAUAGAAACUGUUCAAAGUUUUCAAAGGAACUCAUCAGCAAAACUGAGACAGGAGAUGACAAUACUUGCUGUACAUGCUAUACCAAAGGUGAAAACCAGGAGAUGGCGGGUGUACGGCAAAGAUCAAUAAUGCAGGUCAAGGUGGGCAACAGAUGGGUUGUGCUGUACAAUUUGCUCCUUUAAAGCUGUUCCAAGCCCACAUCAAUGUUGAGUGGUGCAAUUCAGUGAAGUCUUAUGUACAUCAACAAGGGAAGCAACCAAGCCAUGUUUGACAUGAGAUAAACCAGCCCAUCCAGAAGUGCAGGUCUUCCAACUCAGCAGGUACAUCUGCAGUAGUGAAGCUGUAUGAAGAAUUUUGCACUUCCAGACUCACAACAAGUACCGGCUGUGCCGAAGCUCAAGUGUUCAAAUGAAAAAUGGUCAGAGUCUAUACAAACUGGCUGGAGGAAAUGCAGGUCCCACCCAUGACCACCUCGAUGGCCUUCUUUGAGGUAGGUCAGGAAGACCACUUCGUCAAGUACUACACACUUGAUAUUCUGGCACCAAAACUUCAGGAGGUGAAAGCAAGACAAGGACAUCCAACGCUUACCCAGAAAUCAAAUCCACAGACACCCUGGGACGUUGUUUACACAGUCCAUCAUUCUAGCAUUGAGUGCUUCUACUUCAGAAUACUUCUGCAUGUUGUUUGGGGACCUACAUCCUUCGGGGACCUACAUCCUUCGCGAGCCUGAAAUUUGACUUAGGGGGGCCAGUGAAAGGUGCGGUUUGUGGAGAGCAUCCAGAACCGGGACCUUGGAGAGCAACCAGAACUGGGACCUCACCCUGGCUGAAGCUGCUGUGUUGCAGAUGCCGAGGAAAAUCUGGCAUGUGAAAGGUGAAGUUUGUUAAGAGAGCGACCAUAACUGGGACCUCAUCCUGGCUGAAACCACACUGUUGCAGCUGCCAAAGAAGAUUAGACACCAUUUUGCUCAUCACCCGUCAGCUUUGGGAAAAUUACGGGAUGAGCAAAGACUUUCUUCACCAAGCGAGGAGAGAUAAUCCAACCCCUGACCUUUGACUUCUGCGAUGUCAUUUAUGGUAAGAUGCAGACGUUAGAGUGUGUGUCUGGCUAUCUUUGGGAAAACCCUGAAGAUUUAUGGCUUGCCUUGCCUUCCUGAUGAUGAACAUCGACCAGUUGUGCCGAGAGGUUCUUCGCUAGACCAGCUACAUCCCUGACGACCUAGCCCAGUUUGUAUGACAAAAAAGGAACCCUGCUGAUGCCAGACCAGUAGAGCCUAUGACACCAUUCUGAACACAUUGACUGCCAAACGGGCAGCCUGAUCUACGUGGAUGCUCGUGGCAGAACUAGAAAAACAUUUCCUUAUCAGUGUACAACGCCAUUCUGAAUACGUUGACUGCCGAACGGGCAGCCUGAUCUUCAUGAAUGCUCCUGGCAGAACCGGAAAAACAUUCUUUAUCAAUCUUAUUCUGGCCAAAGUUCAUCAGAAGAAAAAAAAAAGUGCAUUCGCUUCCUCUGGAAUUGUGGCCACACUACUGGAUGGAGGUCACACUACCCUGCUCUACUUUGAAAUUGCCACUGCUGAGAGGCUCUUGUGUGUGACAUUUCCAAGGGCAUGGUCCACGCCAAAGUAUUCUGGCAGUAAAGCCUCAUCAUUUGGGAUAAGUGCACUACGGCCAACAAAAGAGGUAUCAAGACUUUGGACUUGAUAUUGCAGAGCAAGCAGUAUACAUCAAGGGGUGGACUUUGA